RNAcentral lists this ribosomal RNA (301 nucleotides) under uncultured bacterium. RNAcentral's name for it is "partial 16S ribosomal RNA". It matches the Rfam family "Bacterial small subunit ribosomal RNA", at positions 509 to 807 of the family's 1533-position model. The record is from RNAcentral.
CAGCAGCCGCGGUAAUACGAAGGGGGCUAGCGUUGCUCGGAAUCACUGGGCGUAAAGGGUGCGUAGGCGGGUCUUUAAGUCAGGGGUGAAAUCCUGGAGCUCAACUCCAGAACUGCCUUUGAUACUGAAGAUCUUGAGUUCGGGAGAGGUGAGUGGAACUGCGAGUGUAGAGGUGAAAUUCGUAGAUAUUCGCUAGAACACCAGUGGCGAAGGCGGCUCACUGGCCCGAUACUGACGCUGAGGCACGAAAGCGUGGGGAGCAAACAGGAUUAGAUACCCGCGUAGUCCCUGUCUCUUAUAC